Molecule: long non-coding RNA, 369 nt
Filed under: Lupinus angustifolius (narrow-leaved blue lupine)
Lineage: Eukaryota; Viridiplantae; Streptophyta; Magnoliopsida; Fabales; Fabaceae
Description: long non-coding RNA (LANG_LNC002874)
Source: RNAcentral
CUCUCUCUCAUUCCCCCUUUCUUCAUCUUCCUAGACAAUAACAAAAACUUUUUUCUACACAUUUCCUUCUUUUCUCUUCCUUUCCUUCUCCCACCAUAAACACACCAACAACUACAACUUCAACCCAAUUUUCCUGCUCCAUCAUUCUAUUUUCCCCCAACCAAAAAAAAACUCACAACACAAAACCUAGUUUCCCAUUCCAACACCAAAACUUCAGAGUUUAGACGUUUGUUUUUGUUGAUCAUGGAGUCUGCAUCUGGUGGAGCGUCUCCAACAAGUACACUACCACUUGAGGCAAGAAACAUGGAAGCUCCACCGGUAUCAUCUGCGGCGAUGGCAACCCUAAACCCUGCAUUGUGAAAAAUGCCG